UGGGGCGAGGGGCGCGUUAUGCAAUGGGCGCACUGGGAGCGGGCAGGGGCAGCCUCGGGGCGCACAGGUUGUCAUCUGCCAGGGCGGACAGCAAAAAGCUGGAGGCUUACGCGCGCUCCUGUGUCCUCCAGGUUUAGAGUUGACAUCCUUGUUGGAUCUGGUAAACGCCUUCUGAGGGUCUUGUCUGUGGGUUCAAUGGAACAGGAGAAGGAAGCUUUGCCUGGUGACGGGUCCAGAGAGUUUAGAAAGUGGGGAAUAUGAAGUUGGGACCAGUUGGAACUCGCUGGGUACGGACCAGAUGCGCCCCUCUCCUGUGAGAACAGGCGCAUCCCCAUUACCUCUUUUGCCCCUUUUGAAGAAGGAAUGACCCCCAAGUCCGAAACUGUUUAGUAAUUGCUACCCUCUUAGCGCUUUUCUGAGAGACACGCGGCAGAGGACACAUCGGUCCAGCCGACAGGUGGUCGCUGAUGCCAAACUUUAGCGCCUGGCUCCGGAGUAAGGGGCCCUGCGAAGGGCGGAGGAGGACACACCUGGGAAGGGCUAAUGAGCAGUAGGGUGCCUUUAAGGGUUGAGAAGGGCUUAGUGGGCCUGCAGGCAGGUGAGGAGGGCUAAUUUUUGAGAAACGACCUGGCUGGAGUCUUCAGUUUGAAGCAGACACGUCAAGAUGUUCCAUAAGUAUUACCUGUAUCUUUUGCCAGGAUGGGUACAGCCUACCCCAGUCCCCCCCGGGGUCUCCUGGACUUCACAUGUGGUCAGACCCCAGGACUUAAAAUGACCUCUCUUCCUUCCACCGCAGUGACUUUCAAAAUAUUUAAAUGAACAAAUCCAGCUGAAAACAUGUGAUUGAAGUUGCACAUUAUGGUAUCAGUUUUUGUCCUGGGUGUCAUUCAAAGGGUUUGAUAAGAACAACCACUGAAAUAAACUCCAGCUGUCAGGAUCUAAGGAAAUUUAGGUCCAAAUGACUAAUACAUCUCUUAAUCAGAAAGAAUUAUAGGAGAAUGAGGCAGUUGUUCUUGCUGAAAAGAUUUUCCACCUAGUAAAUUAUAGCCUCUUAUACUCCAGGGUAUUUUUCUUUAAUCUUCUUAAGCCAAUUUCCAGUGUCUGAAAACAAUUUAAAUAUUCCAGGUAGCGAAUCCAAUUACUUAGCUGAGUGCGUCUGUGUCUAUAUUUUGUCCAGUUGGAAGCGCAAACGGAACUUGCAGUAUGAGCCACAGCUUCCUUGAAAGCUUGUGCCAAUUAUUAAAUGCUGUAGGCAAGGAUGUAAACAUGCAUCUUUUACCAUGGACGUUAGACUUUUCUCUUUUCUGUUCCAGUUUAAUUGUACCAGAUAUUUUUGUAAAAGAAUAUAAUCUAAACAAUAAAUUCAGACACAGGUUAAAUGAUUUGUGUCAUGGGGAAAUAAAAGAAAAUGCAAUUCUACAAAGAAAAUAGUCCUGCCCAUCUUGAGAUCCUUACAAGGAGAGCUAAUGUGAUGAUUUACUGAGAAAGAGAGGGACAGGCAGAGAAGAAGGGAGGGGUAUUUUUCUAGAACUGGGAGUUUGGGCAUAAGCUCUGGAUUUCUUUACAGUUUUGACUUUAAGCUAUAUUUUAAGUAAUUCUCCAUAAUUUCCUGUUUGGGAGAAAAAUAACCAAUGCUGUUUCAAGGAUGAAGGUCUUUAUGAAAAUACAUUUUGAAAUAUCCAGGUGGAUGAUUUGUAAUACAUGCAUUUAUGUAACAAAUAUUCGUUGCCAGCCUUGGACCUCAUUUCUGGGGUGGUGAAGAGAUUAGACAAAAUCCUGGAUAGUAAGGCACCUUACAUACUAGGUAGAAAAGACAAAAAUGAUUUAAAAAAAAUUGAGAAAGAGAGUGAUGCAUUGAGACUGUCGGAGGAAUCACUAGUGAAAACACCACUGGAAAAAAGAGAAAGGUGAAAGAAAGCUCGCCAAGCCUUGCAGCAGUGUUUCUGGGGGAAACUAUAGGAAGGAGGUAGAUACUAAGGAGAGAGCCAGUAGAAUCCCAGGUCUUUUUAAAGAGGAAAUCUAGAGUGCACCCAGGAGAAAAGUUAUAUUUACUGUGAUAAUUUAUUCUGUAGGUGCUUUGAUUCCCUUAGUCUCCAUGACCUGAGGACUAAGAGGGACCCAGAAUUUCUUAAGAUUGCCUUUAUCCUUCUGUGGUAUUUUCUGCUCAACUCUCUGCAGUUUGUAUUUGUUCUCUUAGAAUCAAACAAGUUUAGUCUCUCUGGCUAUUCUUAUUGCAUCUUCAUGAGAUUGUGCAUUGAAGACAAAAGAGAACAAAAUCUCGAGUCAGAGUCCUGGGUUUACCUCCUGGUUCUCUUGUCAGUCUGCUGUGUAACUUAAGGUAAAUCGCUCAUUCUCUCUAAACCAUUGUUGCUUCUUAAGCAAACCUGAGGUAAUGGUGCUGUUCCUACCAGUUUCAGGUAGUAGUUGGGAGGAACCAAUAGGAGAAAGCAACACUUCUCACACUGAGCAUACAUCUGAACCAUCUGGAAGACUUGUUUCAUGUAGAAGUUGGGAGAAACCAAUAGGAGAAAGCAACACUUCUCACACUUGAAGAUACAUCUGAACCAUCUGGAAGACUUGGGAACUAAGCCUGUCCUGAACUUGGCAAGCAGAUAAAGAAUCGACUUAUCACGGCUACCUGUUUCACUAAUGAUAUUAAAGGAAGAAACUUUA
This is a non-coding RNA of Ictidomys tridecemlineatus (thirteen-lined ground squirrel), 2673 nucleotides long. The record is from RefSeq and is a predicted model, not a curated record. NCBI's taxonomy places the organism in Eukaryota, Metazoa, Chordata, Mammalia, Rodentia, Sciuridae.